Molecule: ribosomal RNA, 565 nt
Filed under: Penicillium sp. P141_D1_11
Lineage: Eukaryota; Fungi; Ascomycota; Eurotiomycetes; Eurotiales; Aspergillaceae
Description: eukaryotic LSU rRNA
Rfam family: 5.8S ribosomal RNA (bases 200-352)
Source: RNAcentral
GUGAACCUGCGGAAGGAUCAUUACCGAGUGAGGGCCCUCUGGGUCCAACCUCCCACCCGUGUUUAUUUUACCUUGUUGCUUCGGCGGGCCCGCCUUUACUGGCCGCCGGGGGGCUCACGCCCCCGGGCCCGCGCCCGCCGAAGACACCCUCGAACUCUGUCUGAAGAUUGAAGUCUGAGUGAAAAUAUAAAUUAUUUAAAACUUUCAACAACGGAUCUCUUGGUUCCGGCAUCGAUGAAGAACGCAGCGAAAUGCGAUACGUAAUGUGAAUUGCAAAUUCAGUGAAUCAUCGAGUCUUUGAACGCACAUUGCGCCCCCUGGUAUUCCGGGGGGCAUGCCUGUCCGAGCGUCAUUGCUGCCCUCAAGCCCGGCUUGUGUGUUGGGCCCCGUCCUCCGAUUUCCGGGGGACGGGCCCGAAAGGCAGCGGCGGCACCGCGUCCGGUCCUCGAGCGUAUGGGGCUUUGUCACCCGCUCUGUAGGCCCGGCCGGCGCUUGCCGAUCAACCCAAAUUUUUAUCCAGGUUGACCUCGGAUCAGGUAGGGAUACCCGCUGAACUUAAGCAUAU